ACGAGGGGAGGGGAGGGGAUUUUAUUUAUUUAUUUAUUUAAAUCUAUAAAAUCAUCAAAUUAAUAGUGAAUUUUAUUUUGCUUACCCAGCGAGGACCGCUGCUGGCUCCCCGAAGACCUUGUGGUUAGAGGGGCGGCCGCGGCGGAGGUCGUCGUCAUCCAUGCAAGGGAGGUCGUCGUGGAUCAGGGACAUGGCGUGGAUCAUCUCCAGCGCGCAGGCCGAUGGCAUGGCCGCCGCGUCUUCGCCGCCGACGAGGCGGCACGCCGCCAGGCAGACGAUGGGGCAGACGCGCUUGCCGCCGGAGAGGAGGGAGUAGCGC
Molecule: long non-coding RNA, 319 nt
Filed under: Salvia miltiorrhiza (redroot sage)
Lineage: Eukaryota; Viridiplantae; Streptophyta; Magnoliopsida; Lamiales; Lamiaceae
Description: long non-coding RNA (SMIL_LNC007487)
Source: RNAcentral